UUCCUACGGGGGGCAGCAGUGAGGAAUAUUGGUCAAUGGGCGGAAGCCUGAACCAGCCAAGUCGCGUGAGGGAAUAAGGCCCUACGGGUCGUAAACUUCUUUUGUCAGGGAGCAAUUGAGUCCACGUGUGGGCUUAGCGAGAGUACCUGAAGAAAAAGCAUCGGCUAACUCCGUGCCAGCAGCCGCGGUAAUACGGAGGAUGCGAGCGUUAUCCGGAUUUAUUGGGUUUAAAGGGUGCGUAGGCGGAAUAUCAAGUCAGCGGUAAAAAUUCGUGGCUCAACCCCGUCGUGCCGUUAAAAC
Molecule: ribosomal RNA, 300 nt
Filed under: uncultured bacterium
Lineage: Bacteria
Description: bacterial SSU rRNA
Rfam family: Bacterial small subunit ribosomal RNA
Source: RNAcentral